RNAcentral lists this ribosomal RNA (264 nucleotides) under uncultured bacterium. RNAcentral describes it as "partial 16S ribosomal RNA". It matches the Rfam family "Bacterial small subunit ribosomal RNA", at positions 524 to 787 of the family's 1533-position model. The record is from RNAcentral.
UACGGGGGGUGCAAACGUUGCUCGGAAUCAUUGGGCGUAAAGCGCACGUAGGCGGUCCCUUAAGUCGGGUGUGAAAGCCCUCGGCUUAACCGAGGAAGUGCAUUCGAAACUGGGGGACUUGAAUACUGGAGAGGAUGGCGGAAUUCCCGGUGUAGAGGUGAAAUUCGUAGAUAUCGGGAGGAACACCAGCGGCGAAGGCGGCCAUCUGGACAGAUAUUGACGCUGAGGCGCGAAAGCGUGGGGAGCAAACAGGAUUAGAAACCC